AAAUCUCGUCCGGUAGUAUAUGCGAGUUGAAAAGCAUUGCAACCGGUGGAGAUUCCA
This 57-nucleotide microRNA precursor is filed under the name Ascaris suum (pig roundworm). Its description in RNAcentral is "Asu-Mir-216-P2_pre stem-loop". The record is from RNAcentral. Lineage: Eukaryota; Metazoa; Nematoda; Chromadorea; Rhabditida; Ascarididae.